UAUGAUUGGUCGCUCGAGAUUUUCUUUGCUAGUAUAUAAACAAUACUAACUAAAUUGUGAAAACACACGUCACUCGUUGACACUUUGAAUGGUAUCUAUAUGUGGUAGACAGAGGAAUGUUUUAGAACAGCAGAGUGUAGCUAGCUGAGAAGCCAUAUAUCUUCAUACACUACACAGGUAUGCUGUCAAAUUAUAUUAUCCAAUCAAUUUUGAUGAAUAAUAUCGUACGAGUUUGGUACUGUCUCUAUUUAGGAAAAUAAUUUGUAUACACCCCAUCAACCAUUUGAGUGAGAAGCAAAUAUACAGAAAACAUGAUAUGAUAAAAGUGAUAUAUUGAUAAUAAGAUGGAAAAAAAGAUUAAAAAAAAUGAAAUAUUGAAUAGGUGUAUGAAAUUAUAGAUAUUUAUAUAUCAAUGUUACUCUAUUUAUGCGGCAAAUUAAAGUUGUAACUCUAUUGUUUGGAAUCUUUAUUUUGGCUAGUAUACAUAUAGAAAGACUGAACGACUUAUGCAUUCCCUUUAGACCAAGUACUAAAAUGUCCACAAGAGAUCAUCUUAAAAUACACACCUUUGCAUUAUUCCUUUUUCAUCAAAGCUCCACCUUGAAAAUGAAAUAAUAGAAGUCUCACCUUUGAAUAAAAAAUUUCAUUUAAGUAUCUUCAUAUUAUACCAUGAUUUUUUAUGAGAGAGUAAAAAAAAAUACUUAGAAUCAUGAUUCAAUUUGCUUUUGGUCUUGUUAGUUAUUUUUCAAAAUAGUUAUCUCCCAUUUGCAACAUAAUAGAAUACACCAGGUCCACACUGCUCUAAUAAAAAUACAAGUAUAGUCUUUCACCCUAACAAGAAACCAUAUCACCGGAAUAUCAGAGUUGUAGAAAAAACCUUUUAAAUAUAUUUUCAAGAAAAAUUUAAGUUGUUUCUAAAGAGACUUAAAUUUUCAACUUAGCAUAUGGGAAGCCUUUGAAAAAAACUUUUUUAAACCAAUUGUUUCAUAAUUAGUCGCCUUACAAGGUUGUGUAAAACACAUUUUGAGUCAUCUUUAUAAUUAGUUUUUGAUGCAACCUACCAAAAUGUUAUAUUUUAUUUACAAUAACAAGUUCAUUUGGUCAUAAGCAGAUAGCAAUAUAUAAUUAUGAACUCAAGUCCAAUUAUGCCAAAAUGUUAUACGUAUGUCACAUAAUUAUUUAUUUAUACACUAUUGGUAGAAAAUUUAAUGUUCAACUUUGUAGAUCAUAUACUUCUUUAAUCUACCUUGUAUUUGUUACCAAAUAUGGCUUAUUUUCAUUCACGUUAUUUCCACUCCUUAAGAGGGAGACAACCAGAGAGAUGAAUGGGGACAAUGGCUAGGGUUUCGUUCACAGAAAUAUACAGAGAAAAAAAAAACCUUCGAAAUACCUUUUAAAUAGUUCUUAUAAAUAACUGGUUUAAACUUAACUGCAAAAAUGUCUAUAGAUAUAUGUUUAAAACUUUUUUUCUUUCUGUAAUUAGUUUAAAUUGAUAUAUAGUAUUUUAAUUUGAAUUUCGUACUAGUCUAUAGUCGACCAAUGAGGGUUAGGAGACAUUGAAUAGAUAAAAAUAUUCAAUAUAAUACUUAAGUUACAGAACUCUUCCAUUUAAUGGAUUAAUCUUUUAAGUUAAACUCGCUCUCAUAAUUAAUGGGCAAAACUCAUUAUCAACAAAGUGCGGUUUAAAGAGAAAUACUUAUGUCGUAACAACCAUAAAUCAAAAUGAUUUAGACACGAAAAAAAAAAACAAAAAAAAAAUGUAGUGGAGAAAGAAUAAUUUAUUAUUAUUAUUAUUGACAAAGCUAAAUAAUUUGUAUUGUCUAAAUAAUUUGGAUGAAGAUUAUGACUACAAUUACUCUUUGUGAUUGAAGUAGCUAAAAGUUUGCACUCUUUGACUAAACAAAUAUGUUUAGGGUUCAAUAAUUGAAUAAAAAAAGAUGUAGAACUCAACGAUAUUAAUUAGCGUAAUUUGAGUUACAUAUAUAUCAAAUGCAUAUACAAAAAGAAAACAAUAUAGCUAAAUAAGCAUAUAUUAUAAGACAAUACGACUUAUCUAAAAAAAGAAACAGUAAUAAUGAACAAAUCCUAUAUAUGUUGACAUUGAAGUACUAAUUUUAUUGUGAUAGUAAUUCAUAUAUGUAGGCAACUAAUAAUGGAUUGCCUAAUAUUAUAGGAUACUCCACACUCCGGAGUUAAUUCAUAUCAACAGUGCUAAGGAUAUAAAAUAUAUGUGAUAGAGUUUAUUAAUUAUGUACACCAACUCAGGAACAAUACUCAAAUAUUUUCUUGCAAAUACUAUAUAUUAGUAUGCAUCAUGCAUCAUGCAUGAAGUGGUAGCAGUAGUAGUAGUAACUAUAUAUAUGUAAAUGUUCACUUCCAUAGUUCCAUAUUGUGACAACUUGAGGUUGAAUUGGUUGAAGCAUGUUCCUCAGACAUUUCAGGCUUUUUGUUUGCAAGAAGAGUAAUCUGUUCAGCCACAUGAAGAAUAGUUUGUUUAGAAACAUGAUCUUGAUCUUGACUAAGCUGAGAAGCAACAAAUUU
RNAcentral lists this long non-coding RNA (2541 nucleotides) under Cicer arietinum (chickpea). Its description in RNAcentral is "long non-coding RNA (CARI_LNC003345)". The record is from RNAcentral. Lineage: Eukaryota; Viridiplantae; Streptophyta; Magnoliopsida; Fabales; Fabaceae.